Molecule: ribosomal RNA, 253 nt
Filed under: uncultured bacterium
Lineage: Bacteria
Description: partial 16S ribosomal RNA
Rfam family: Bacterial small subunit ribosomal RNA
Source: RNAcentral
UACGUAGGUGGCAAGCGUUGUUCGGAAUUAUUGGGCGUAAAGGGCGCGUAGGCGGCCAACUAAGUCAGACGUGAAAUCCCUCGGCUUAACCGGGGAACUGCGUCUGAUACUGGUUGGCUUGAAUCCGGGAGAGGGAUGUGGAAUUCCAGGUGUAGCGGUGAAAUGCGUAGAUAUCUGGAGGAACACCGGUGGCGAAGGCGGCAUCCUGGACCGGUAUUGACGCUGAGGAGCGAAAGCCAGGGGAGCAAACGGG